Molecule: ribosomal RNA, 481 nt
Filed under: uncultured bacterium
Lineage: Bacteria
Description: partial 16S ribosomal RNA
Rfam family: Bacterial small subunit ribosomal RNA
Source: RNAcentral
GACGAACGUUGGCGGCGUGCUUAAUACAUGCAAGUCAACUGAAGCAGUGGUAGCAAUAUCGCUGUGGAGGUGGCGCACGGGUGAGUAACACGUAGGUAAUCUGCCUUCAGGUCUGGCAUAACUCCGGGAAACCGGGGCUAAUAGCAGAUGAUGCAGCGGCUCGACAUCGAGACAGUUGUUAAAGCUAUGGCGCCUGAAGAUGAGCCUGCGUCUGAUUAGCUAGUUGGCGGGGUAACGGCCCACCAAGGCAACGAUCAGUAGCUGGUCUGAGAGGAUGAUCAGCCACACUGGAACUGAGACACGGUCCAGACGCCUACGGGGGGCAGCAGUAAGGAAUAUUGCUCAAUGGGAGAAAUCCUGAAGCAGCAACGCCGCGUGAGGGACGAAGGGCUUUUGCUUGUAAACCUCUGUAGUGAGAGAAAAAAAUCCCAAUCUUUGGGACAUGAUGGUAUCUCAAAAGUAAGCCCCGGCUAACUACGUG